Molecule: ribosomal RNA, 756 nt
Filed under: Bacillus aerophilus
Lineage: Bacteria; Bacillati; Bacillota; Bacilli; Caryophanales; Bacillaceae
Description: bacterial SSU rRNA
Rfam family: Bacterial small subunit ribosomal RNA
Source: RNAcentral
UCGGCGUCCCUAAUACAUGCAAGUGGAUCGGACAGAAGGGAGCUUGCUCCCGUAUGUUAGCGGCGGACGGGUGAGUAACACGUGGGUAACCUGCCUGUAAGACUGGGAUAACUCCGGGAAACCGGAGCUAAUACCGGAUAGUUCCUUGAACCGCACGGUUCAAGGAUGAAAGACGGUUUCGGCUGUCACUUACAGAUGGACCCGCGGCGCAUUAGCUAGUUGGUGAGGUAACGGCUCACCAAGGCGACGAUGCGUAGCCGACCUGAGAGGGUGAUCGGCCACACUGGGACUGAGACACGGCCCAGACUCCUACGGGAGGCAGCAGUAGGGAAUCUUCCGCAAUGGACGAAAGUCUGACGGAGCAACGCCGCGUGAGUGAUGAAGGUUUUCGGAUCGUAAAGCUCUGUUGUUAGGGAAGAACAAGUGCAAGAGUAACUGCUUGCACCUUGACGGUACCUAACCAGAAAGCCACGGCUAACUACGUGCCAGCAGCCGCGGUAAUACGUAGGUGGCAAGCGUUGUCCGGAAUUAUUGGGCGUAAAGGGCUCGCAGGCGGUUUCUUAAGUCUGAUGUGAAAGCCCCCGGCUCAACCGGGGAGGGUCAUUGGAAACUGGGAAACUUGAGUGCAGAAGAGGAGAGUGGAAUUCCACGUGUAGCGGUGAAAUGCGUAGAGAUGUGGAGGAACACCAGUGGCGAAGGCGACUCUCUGGUCUGUAACUGACACUAACGAGCGAAACCGUGGGGAGCGAACAGGAU